UCAGCGAAUUUAGCACCCAGGAUGGCGGCCAAAUCGUCAGCCGCCAGUUCAAUAUCCAGCCCGCGUUUACCACCGGAAACAUAAAUAGUGGCAAACGUGCGGGCAGGCGCGUCAAUCAGCGUGGGCAGCCGUUUCUUCUGUCCCAGCGGACUGAUCCCGCCGACUGAAUGGAAGGGCCAUCGCUCAACGGAUAAAAGGUACUCCGGGGAUAACAGGCUGAUACCGCCCAAGAGUUCAUAUCGACGGCGGUGUUUGGCACCUCGAUGUCGGCUCAUCACAUCCUGGGGCUG
Molecule: ribosomal RNA, 290 nt
Filed under: Salmonella enterica subsp. enterica serovar Cerro
Lineage: Bacteria; Pseudomonadati; Pseudomonadota; Gammaproteobacteria; Enterobacterales; Enterobacteriaceae
Description: partial 23S ribosomal RNA
Rfam family: Bacterial large subunit ribosomal RNA
Source: RNAcentral